UUCUAAACACCAUCGCGUAAACUCAUCCCCUCUCGACACCACCACAAUUCGCCACCCUCUGUUCUUAUAUUUUCGAACCGCACAAGACCUUUCUUGACACCCACACCACAACAACCUCGUGUCGCCACCGAAAUCCAUCGUCGGAGGUUCGGGACUCACCGGAGCACAAGCAGAAACAAGUAUCAUCGCCGGAGCCGUCCGAAGUUACGUCGAAGAUUGCUUCAAACUCUGUUUUCGGUAUACCUUUAUUCUCAGUCAACCCAUUUAUAUUUUUUUAUACACACUUGAUCAGUAAACAAGAACUAUGGUGGUGGUGGGUUUUCUGUUCGGAUGGUUUUAUUUUGUCGGUAGAUGAUAACUCUUUUUUUUUAUUCCUAUGGCCACUGAUCAUGUGCAUGUUGAUAAGAUUCAUGUUAACACAUAAACUUUUAGAACCUGGACAUAAGGUAAUUAAUUUAAUUCAUUAGUUAUGUCAAAUGUGGAAAUUAAGUUCUCAAAAAGUGUAACUAUAAAAUGUCUUAUUGUUUUCUUAAACAUAAAAACGUAGGUUUUUUAUACACAUGUAUAAACUAACUCAUUCAUUUUAUAAAUAGAAUAUGUAUGUCAUAAUAGAUUAACUAAACAAAAUCUUUCUAAAUUCUUUUCCUUUAAAAUUUUAUUUUCUUUUCUAAACUCUAAAAGUAAUUAGUUCUUUCAUAAAAACGUUAACAACUAACAAUUCAUUUUUAACCCUUUUAUUUUUACAUUAUUUUAUUUUAUAAUCUUAAUAACGAGCUAAGUACAUAAAUAACUAAUAUAGAGAUAUUAGUAAUCCCUCUCUCGUGUGGUAUUCUUACACCUAGGUUACUCGCUCCUGUUCGUUCUUUUGGAUUUUCAAUCUUACUCGUACGUUUUUACAAGAAAUCGCAACGCAAUCACUGUGAGUAUACUCGACCCCAUUUUUAUUUUUAAACACUUUUGGGUGCAACAUGUGUUCUAUACAAAAACACGUAACACUUGAAACUUGUUAUAUGCACACUCUAUCUAUUUUAAACAUGACACAAUUUGAUGCUUGUUAAUCUCGUAUGCUAGGUAAACUUUUCGUGUCCAUAUGCUCAUUAACCUUGUUAAACUUAUUAAACUUGUUAGAGUUGUUAAACUUGUUAAACUUGAGUACGCACCGCCCUUGAGUGAGUCUUGGGGUGUUUGCGUUGGAAACUUGUGAGACUUGUUAGACUUCUUAUAUUUAUUUACGCACCGCCCUUGAGUGAGUCUUGGGGUGUUUGCAUUGGAAACUUCUGAGACUUAUUAAACUUCUGAGACUUAUUAAACUUCUGAGACUUAUUAAACUUCUGAGACUUAUUAAAUCUCCUAUGCUAUAGGAGUACGCACCGCCCUUGAGUGAGUCUUGGGGCGUGUGCGUUGGAAACUUGGGUUUGACAUAUAGUGACACUGUUUCAGCAUAUUAGUAACUUGUAUUAUGUUGUUCAUGUUGGAUAUGAGUAUUUAAACUUUCUACUCUACUUUAUGCUAUGUAUCAAACCUGUAUACUCGCCAACUUUUUGUUGAUGUUAUUUUAAUACAUGUUGCAGGUUGAUUGUUCAAGAUUCAAGAAAACAAGUUAGGAUGGCAUUAGAAACCCAUUUUAGUAAUUAAUUAAUGUUAAAUUUAUGUUUGAUAUUUGAGACUUUGUAAUACUCUUCUAGUUUCAAUAAAAUGAUUUAAAUUCAUAUUGUC
This 1716-nucleotide long non-coding RNA is filed under the name Helianthus annuus (common sunflower). Its description in RNAcentral is "hypothetical non coding rna". Lineage: Eukaryota; Viridiplantae; Streptophyta; Magnoliopsida; Asterales; Asteraceae. The record is from RNAcentral.